Molecule: long non-coding RNA, 1686 nt
Organism: Zingiber officinale
Lineage: Eukaryota; Viridiplantae; Streptophyta; Magnoliopsida; Zingiberales; Zingiberaceae
Exons: 9
Source: RefSeq, a predicted model, not a curated record
AGGCUCUCCGUGCUUCAUUUUCUCCUUCUCGGCCUCUUCGCUCGCUGGGUACACGGUCAAAACCUCUCGUUUCCUCUUUUCAUUCUUCUUAAUCGUCUGAUUGCUAAAGGUUGAGGAUGGGGUUUGGGGUUAACCUCUCUAUAAAGCGCCGAAGCCUUUUCUUUUCCCCCGACUUUCUCCUUCUCGCGACUUCGGACUUCACGCGACCGAGACCGGCGAUUUCUUCUUCUCUCGGUGGCGCCGGCGAAGAGCGGACCUUGGAGCGUUGAGAGGAAGAGAGGUGGUUCUUUCUGGGAAGCAGAGACUGGUAUUUUGGUCCCGGCCACCACAGCUCUGUUGGAUCGAUCUCUUCUUCGUAUCAGUGAUCGUCUCCGGUGAUUGAAGGGUGCAGAGAGGAUGCGAUGUGCUUAUUUUAGAUACUGGAUUGGGAAGUGCAGAGAAUCAAGCAAGGGUCAAGGAGUUGCUUCAUGUGGAGGAAUCAAAACUAGAGGAGGAUAAGGGAAAUACCACUCCAGCAGUGAGAUGGGUUCGAGAUGAUAAAUAUGAUUGCAUCCGAUUAAAGCAUUGCAAGGUUGUGACAAAAAUUGAUUGGCAUCGGAAAGGAGACUAUUUCACUACUGUCGUUCCUAGUGAUAUCCUAAUUAUGAAUUUUAGUUGUACUUAUUUUUAGUCAUUCCUAGUGCCUAUUUUAUAUCUCAGUUUUGUUUCUUUCUUUUUUCUAAUACACACUGACAAAUUGGAAAUAUAUAAAAAUCAUGACAUUAUACCUAGUUACCUAGCCUUUGAGGCUGGAAUCAGGAUGAAACCUAAAGUGCCCUGAAAAGUUUAGGCAUACCAAAUUCUCUCAGUUUAAUGACAGAGGUCAGUUGUGUUGCAAACUUUGUUGUUUUCCUUGUUUUUCAUUUACCGCGUCUAGAUUAAGAAACUAUGGCUUUCUAACUCAAAUAAAAAUUGCAAUUCCUGCCUAUCUUAGACCUAACAUUAACUUAUUAAUUGAACAGGUGUUUUAGAUUGUAAAUUUCAUCCGAGGCAGCCAUGGCUAUUCACAGCUGGAGCAGAUUCUAUCAUUAAACUAUAUUGCCACUAAUGAUAGAUUCUCCAGGAAACUUUGAAGAAUCUCCUCGAGUCAAGAUACGUUGUGAUUGGCACGGCAAGUGUUCUAAAAUGAAGCCAAAGAAAAUGGGGGAGAAAAUAAGGUUGUGACAAAAAUUGAUUGGCAUCGGAAAGGAGACUAUUUCACUACUGUCGUUCCUAGUGAUAUCCUAAUUAUGAAUUUUAGUUGUACUUAUUUUUAGUCAUUCCUAGUGCCUAUUUUAUUCCUAGUCACCUUAUUUCAAUGACAAGAACAAGGGUUCUCAUGGCCAAUAUGUGUCUAUUAAUGGGAUUUUCAAUGUCUUGCUUACCACGCUAAUCCUACUUCUGAUUGGAUUUGCAGCUUCAAGAUAUCAAACUCUACACCUUCUAUAUGGAGCUAGAUUUGCAAAAGCCAUAUCCAACUCGAGGAAGUGACUUAUUGACAUGGGAGAGAACUUAUUGGUAACCAAGGACUUUGUGAAGAUAGCAAAUUUUGGCCUUGCUCGUGAAGUUCAUUCGAAGCCACCAUUCACAGAAUAGGUUUCAACACGCUGUUUACAAAUCUCAAGUACUCCAGAGUUGAAAUUGAUGAAGUGCAGUUCGAGUGGGCUG